AUACAUGCAAGUCGAACGAGUUCUCGUUGAUGAUCGGUGCUUGCACCGAGAUUCAACAUGGAACGAGUGGCGGACGGGUGAGUAACACGUGGGUAACCUGCCCUUAAGUGGGGGAUAACAUUUGGAAACAGAUGCUAAUACCGCAUAGAUCCAAGAACCGCAUGGUUCUUGGCUGAAAGAUGGCGUAAGCUAUCGCUUUUGGAUGGACCCGCGGCGUAUUAGCUAGUUGGUGAGGUAAUGGCUCACCAAGGCGAUGAUACGUAGCCGAACUGAGAGGUUGAUCGGCCACAUUGGGACUGAGACACGGCCCAAACUCCUACGGGAGGCAGCAGUAGGGAAUCUUCCACAAUGGACGCAAGUCUGAUGGAGCAACGCCGCGUGAGUGAAGAAGGCUUUCGGGUCGUAAAACUCUGUUGUUGGAGAAGAAUGGUCGGCAGAGUAACUGUUGCCGGCGUGACGGUAUCCAACCAGAAAGCCACGGCUAACUACGUGCCAGCAGCCGCGGUAAUACGUAGGUGGCAAGCGUUAUCCGGAUUUAUUGGGCGUAAAGCGAGCGCAGGCGGUUUUUUAAGUCUGAUGUGAAAGCCCUCGGCUUAACCGAGGAAGCGCAUCGGAAACUGGGAAACUUGAGUGCAGAAGAGGACAGUGGAACUCCAUGUGUAGCGGUGAAAUGCGUAGAUAUAUGGAAGAACACCAGUGGCGAAGGCGGCUGUCUGGUCUGUAACUGACGCUGAGGCUCGAAAGCAU
This 747-nucleotide ribosomal RNA is filed under the name Lactobacillus casei group sp. RNAcentral's name for it is "bacterial SSU rRNA". It matches the Rfam family "Bacterial small subunit ribosomal RNA", at positions 51 to 762 of the family's 1533-position model. The record is from RNAcentral. Lineage: Bacteria; Bacillati; Bacillota; Bacilli; Lactobacillales; Lactobacillaceae.